RNAcentral lists this long non-coding RNA (1161 nucleotides) under Bos indicus x Bos taurus (hybrid cattle). Its description in RNAcentral is "lncRNA (ENSBIXG00000013894.1)". Lineage: Eukaryota; Metazoa; Chordata; Mammalia; Artiodactyla; Bovidae. The record is from RNAcentral.
CCGCGGACUCCCCUCCCGGGGGUGAACAAUCGGCCGGCCCCUGGCCAGGCCGUCCUGGGGUUGGCACCACCACCGACCCCCUGACCAAGGGCCUGGCGUGACCCCGGGGAGGAGAAGGGGGUCUCGGUCUCUUCCCACCGUCUGCCCCGAGAAACAUUUAACUGGCCUUUAAUCACAUUAGCAGCCGGCCCCAAUUAAGGCCGCGGGCGGGGGAGGCAGGGGAAACCGCCGGCCGUGUCACUUGAGGAUAAAGGUCCUUUAUGCCCCAGGCCUGGCCUGGGGCGACGCGGCGGGCCGCCGUCCCCAGCCUUUGAUUGCAGGCGCCUGGGCCUCGCCGCCGCCGCCAUCUCUUUGCCCCUUCAAACUAUCCCCGCCCCCGAUCCCCCUCCCCUGCCCCCACUGUGCCAUCGCCCUCGGGUGACCCGGUGGCCGGGCAGGACAGCGACCCAGGCCCGGACUCGAGCCCGCGCCCCCACGCCGGCCUGGACGGGCCCUCCUCCGGCCUGGGCCUGCGCCUGCGCGCUGGGAGCGCUCGAAGGGGCGGCUGCGGGGCUCACCGAGAGCCCUCGGGACGCGCCGCCUGCCCGCCGACGCCCAGCUCCCGGUCGGGACCCUGACCAUGAUGGACAGAGAAAAGCACCUUCCUUACGUGAAAAGUAUCAACUCGUUUCUGCUCUUCAGCAUUGUGGAGAAGGUUCUUUAACAGCUGCAGAAAAAUCAAGAAGACCCACAGGCAAAUUUCGAAGAAUGCAUGGCUAAUUUACAAACAAGGGGGAAACAGAACGUUGAGAAACUCAGCGGCUCCAAAGACUGCAGUAGAUGGGAAACAAUUGGGAAAGCGGCCUCCGCGGUGAGUGCCAGUCCUGUUUGCUUUUCGGUGGUGAUUUCUGAGGAUUAAUUUUGAGAGGGAAGAGGGACUUUACUCCUGUGUGUAGGAUGGCUCUCCAUCAUGAACCGUUGUUUUAACGGACUAAAGAAUUUGUUUGGCACACACUUGCUCAGAACCCAAGGGAAAAAAGCCAAGUUCCCUUGAGGCUGUCAGCCCCGGAGGACAGGAGUCAGUUUGAAACGUCUUAGCUUUAAGAAGGUGGCAGAAUUACAUAAUUAUUCACAACUCAUAAGAAAUUAAAAUACCUCUUCCAAAUAUGAAGUUGUGAGAUA